CAGAGUUGUAAAACUCCCAAACCUUUGUGAACAUACCUUUGUUGCCUCGGUGGCCUACCCGGUAGCUACCCUGUAGCUACCCUGUAGUCUGCCGACGGACCACGAAACUCUUGUUUAUAGUGUAUCUCUGAGUACUACUUUUAAAUAAGUCA
This 152-nucleotide unclassified non-coding RNA is filed under the name uncultured Xylariales. RNAcentral describes it as "sequence contains ITS1". Lineage: Eukaryota; Fungi; Ascomycota; Sordariomycetes; Xylariales. The record is from RNAcentral.